UCCUCCAAGGCUAAAUACUCCUGACUGACCGAUAGUGAACCAGUACCGUGAGGGAAAGGCGAAAAGAACCCCGGCGAGGGGAGUGAAAAAGAACCUGAAACCGUGUACGUACAAGCAGUGGGAGCACCCUUCGGGGUGUGACUGCGUACCUUUUGUAUAAUGGGUCAGCGACUUAUAUUCUGUAGCAAGGUUAACCGAAUAGGGGAGCCGGAGGGAAACCGAGUCUUAAUUGGGCGUUAAGU
This 242-nucleotide ribosomal RNA is filed under the name Salmonella enterica subsp. enterica serovar Indiana. RNAcentral's name for it is "partial 23S ribosomal RNA". It matches the Rfam family "Bacterial large subunit ribosomal RNA", at positions 456 to 700 of the family's 2925-position model. The record is from RNAcentral. Lineage: Bacteria; Pseudomonadati; Pseudomonadota; Gammaproteobacteria; Enterobacterales; Enterobacteriaceae.